Molecule: transfer RNA, 66 nt
Filed under: Tanyptera hebeiensis
Lineage: Eukaryota; Metazoa; Arthropoda; Insecta; Diptera; Tipulidae
Description: tRNA-Phe
Rfam family: tRNA
About the family: Transfer RNA (tRNA) molecules are approximately 80 nucleotides in length. Their secondary structure includes four short double-helical elements and three loops (D, anti-codon, and T loops).
Source: RNAcentral
AUUCAAAUAGCUUAUAAUUAGAGCGUGACACUGAAGAUGUUAAUGAGGUUUAAAAAUCUUUGAAUA